AAUUCCCAGCUCAGUAAUUAAUUACCAGCUGCACCCAUCAAGGGGAGAACACUGCAGGAGGCAGCUCAGGGUGCUCAGGGGCUGCUCUGCUCCAGGCUUGGCCCCAGCAGGGUUGGGCUCUCCUUGCAGCUCCUCCCCACAGUCCCUGCUGGGUUUUGCUGGCCCUGAGGCUCAGGGUUAUGGGAUCAGCUCAGAACCUUCACCCCAAACCAAAAUUCAAAAUUCAGCCCCUCCAAUCCCAGAUCCCUGCAUUUAUGGGGUGCCUGCCCUGGCUUUUCUGCAGUGCUGUAGUGGGAUCCUAUGGUAAAAAAUGAGAAUGUUUGUAGAAAAUUGUAUUUAUAGAAAAAAAAAAUCAGAGAAUUCUGUGGUUCCACGUUAAAAACCUGAGAUUUUGUACAGUGUUCAAGGUUGACAAUAAACAUCCUCCUUAACUGGAAGUACCUCAUACAUUUACAACCUCAAAUCACAUAAAAAAUCAGAAUGAGAAAUUUGGUGUGUGGAGCUUGGUCCCCUUUCUGUUAAAUUCUGUAGAAAUGGAUAAAGUGUCCUGGUUUUGAGAAGGUUUGGUUUGGGUGUUUUUAAACUAAAAUGAAUCCAUCCUAAUAUAAAUCCAUACAAUAAAUGUUGAGGUGUUCCUGCUUUUCCAAGGUUUCUUCUCUGGGGUAAAUGGAUAUUUUGCUGCCCAAAGUGUAGUAACUAUUUUCACAUAAAAACCACAAGAAAAGUUUCAGGGGAGGAAUGUCUGGAAAUAAUUCCUUUUAAACCAAAACUCCAGGCAGUGAUGCUGAAAAAGAAAAGGAGUGUCAGAAGAACCUUGCAGGGCAUUUCACUGAUGAAACAAAUCCUGCCUUUAUUAUUCCUGAUCUUCUGCUCUCUACCAAAACUCAAAAUUAAUUUGUUGCUGUGAACAUUAUUUUAAAAAGGGGAGGGAGAGAGAGAAAUGUGGUUUCUUUUGAGCAUCCUGAGUUUUUCUCAGCAUCAAUCACUGCAGACAGUUUGAUCUGCCCCUAGCUCAGGUACAUUUCCAAGGAUUUGCUCUCCUGUGGAUGCUCUGAGCCAAACCCAGUAGAUUUUUCCUACUUCAUCUGUCUUGGAGAUAAUUUUGCAUUGAAUUACUUCGAGUGCAUUCACAGGAGCUCUGCUGGACUCGGGUUUUAUUGGAGGGUUGAUGUCAGAGGUAAAAAAUGUUCCUGGGAGACAGUGAGAUUUUUGGAAUGUCCUGGUACCCUUGACUUUUCUCAAGCUGUCUCCAGCAUUACCUCAUCAAUUUCUGUUCGAGGGGAGCCUCAAACAUGUUAAACAAUACCUUGCUCUAAAAGCCCCAUUAUUGAAUUAAAGCAGAGCUCUGUUUAAUGGGCAGUAAGUUCAUUUUAAUCCAAUUCUAUCCACCACAAUGACUUUUAGACUUUCUUUGUCAGGGCUGUUGCUCUUAAACAAUAGGAAAUAUCUGAGCCCAAUACCUGCAAAUAAUGAACAUACUGAUAGCCAGGAGAAAUGGAACCUAGACAGAAGAUUAAGUUGUGAGAUAAAGUCUGAGAAAAUCUGAUUUUAUAAGCCAGGGAGAAUUUCUUGACAAUUUUGGGAUUUUUAGUCAAAAAAGCAAAACUGAUUCAUGUGCAGACCUUGUUUUUAUUGUCACUGGGUGCUGCUGGGUCCCUCACUGAGCCUGCCUUAACCAGGCAUUUAAUAUCAUUUAAUUUGAUUUUACAGUUUUGUCUAGGGCUCCAUUACAAACAGAUCCUAAAAUACUUUUUCUAUUCAUUAAAUAAAAAAGGAAGUGGAAAAGAAAAUGUGGCAGGAAAUUAAGAAGCUGUUUACAGAAAAUUUAAAAUUUUUGUAGAAUUUUUUGGCAACAAUCCUUGUUGGGAAUGAGGGAGAUGAGUGGGUUUGAGAAGUGGGGUUGGUGUGAGGUGGAAAUCCAAGCUGAGGAGGAUUUCCAGAGGUGCUGGAGCUCCCUGGGGCUGGGAAUUCCAGCCUGUCCCAGCAGCUCCUGUGUUUUGGUGGUUUUUGGUGCCUCAGAGGUGGGAGAGGAUCCUGCCCUCCCCAGGGACCUCCCUGGCUUUGGUGGGGGAAGAUGCUCUGGAGGAGUUCUGUGUUCUGUCACUUCAGCAAGGGUUCAUUGCUGAUUUUAUUCAACUCUUAUUCAAUUCCCUUGUCUGCUGUGGGGUUUUUGGCUCCUCCAUCUUUCUGUUCCUGUUUUUUACCUCCAGCUGUUGGUGAAGUCCCACUGUGCAGAGUGCUCCAGAGCAGGGUGAUGCUCUCUGGGAAGGGGCAGCUUUAAAUGUGGGUUAAGAAUUCCCAGAAAAUGACUGCAGAAGUAGUUCUGGAAGCACACAGCAUCCACUGAACUGUGGCCAUCCAUUCUGGUGGGAAAUGGUCAGGAAGAAAAAAGAAAUCUUCAUUUUUUUAGGGAGCAAUCCCACCCUGCCCACACAGAUUCCCUCUGGCUGUGGUUAAUGAUGAACUCCUGGAGUGUCUGGGAUUUUUCCUGCAAGAGAUGCUCAGGCCCAGGGCUGGAUCCUACAGCAAAAGCAGUGAAUUCCUACCUAAGUGACAAUCCCAGAAUGGUUUGGGUUGGGAAGGAUCAAAAGCUCAUCCAGUCCCAUCCCUCACCUUCCACUGCUCCAGCCUGGGACACUUCAGGGAUGGGGCAGCCACAGCCUCUCUGAUGCCUUGUUAGUUCUAAAAACUCAAAAACAGAUUUGGAGUUAAAACAGGACCCAGUGAGGUUUUGCUACUUUGACUUUUAAGUCCCUUCUCAUGGGUGUUACCUCUGAGAAUCCAACAAACUCUGGGAAACCCACCCAAAAGUAUCAGUGCUCCUCAAGUGUCCCAUACCCAGUGGCUUUUGUGGAGGAGCUUUCUCCCCUUCCCAGCUCUGCAGGGCCCUGUGAGUGAUUGCACAGUGAAAGAAAAGCAGUUCUUUGGUCCCAGGUACUGGAAGCUUUGCCUGGACAAACCAGUUUGCUGCUAUUUCUUGUGCCAUAAUUCUUUGCUUACAGCUUAAUCUCAGUUGAUGCUGGUAAAGGGAGCGUGGUGUUCCUUCCACCAAAAAAGCACAAAUGAGAUCAUGGUGACUGAGGUAACUGGAAAGUUUGCUUAAAGAUUGUUGGGGUUUUUUUAGUCAAAAAUAAUUUACAGUACAGGUUGAGGUUAUUUCUUUAGAACACAAGGCAAGAAGUGAUAAAGGGACAACCAGAAAUCUUGUCCUGGGGUGGGAAGAGCUGGGCAGUGGCCUCACAACCUCCUGGGAGCAAUUUUGGAAGGUUAAACCAAUCCCCUUGACAUUGUUGGUUGAAAACUCAACAGCCUCCCUGCCACAGGUACAUCAGAAACCUGGGGGAUGUGUCCUGAGCACAGCAGAGCAGCUCCACACAAAAAUGGCUUUAUUGCCCUGAAAGGGACACAGAUGUGGCUGAAAUUUGAGGAGCUUUGGUGUUGAAAGGCUGCCAGUGGAUCACAACAGAAUUAAAAGAGUUUAUUUGCAAAAGGCUUGAAGGAUUUAACUGAAUAAGCAAGGGUUUUUUCCCUAAAUUGAGUUUUAAAAAAAGAAUCUUUAAAAAGCAAGCAGAAGUUUGGUUCCAAAGAGCAGCAGUGAGCAGAGCUGAGGACGGGCAGGUCAGAGAUGUUGCAAUUCCUAAUUUUGAAAGCACUGAUGGAACGUAACAGAAUGUCCCAAGGAAGAAAGCCCUGGAGCCUCCUGGGCUGCCCUGGCCACUGGAGCGUGGCUCAGGUGAACCACAGCAAACCUGAGCCCAUUUCAGCCUUGGAACCUCCACCAGGAUCUUUCCUUCCCCCAUCUCAGAAAGCAAAUGAAUCUUUUAACCCCAAAUCCUCCCUGUUAAACCUGACCAGAAACCAGAUUUAUUUUCUGCACCUUCAGAGCUCUGGGCACAGGGAACAGCUCAGCCCCAGAGCUGAGCUGAGGCUGGGGUGGUGCUGGGGGCUCUGCUUGCUCCUCAGGUUUGGCUGGACAGGGAGCUGGGUCCAGCUUUGGGGAGCCCCAGGAGUCGGGUUUUGGGCAGCCACAGCUCUCAGGAUUCAGGUUUUGAGCAGUCUCAACUCUCAGGAUUCAGGUUUUGAGCAGCCCCAAGUUUCCCUAAACCUAACCCAGGUUUUGGGCAGCCUCAGGUUUCCCUAAACCUAAUCCAAGUUUUGGGCAGCCCUGGGUUUCCUUAAAACUAAACCAGGUUUUGGGCAGACUCAGCUCCCAGGAUUCAGGUUUUGAGCAGCCCCAGCCCCAGGUUUCCCUAAGCCUAACCCAGGUUUUGGGCCACCCCAGCCCCAGGUUUCCCUAAGCCUAACCCAGGUUUUGGGCAGCCCCAGCCCCAGGUUUCCCUAAGCCUGACCCAGGUUUUGGGCAGGCCCAGCUCGCAGGGCUGAGUCAGGCUCAGGCUGAGCCCCUGUGAGUCACUGCAGGGUCCUGCUGGUGGUGGAGCCUCGGGGAAGUGGAUGGUUUAAAUACUGUGAGAAUCUUUAUCAGCACAGGAAAUGACAGCUCAUUAAAAUACUAACCGUUGAGCCAGUUUAGAUCACUGUCUGGAAAAAAAUUAACCAUUGAAGGCUCAGAGGGCUGACAGGAGAGAGAAAGGUGCCCUGUUGAGACAAGGGACACGUUAUGCAAAUGAAUCAGCUUUGCUAAUUGGCCAGUGGCAUAAAAAUAUUUCCACUGGAAUCUGUUUUGCAAUGAUUUUAAAACUAUUUGACUUCCAAAGAAGUUGAUAGCACCGUGCUGGAGUGAAAUUUUUGAGGGAGAGGUGGCUAAAACACCCUCAAUACUAAAAUCCCCAAAUCCAGUGCCUGUUCCUAAAUGUUUUAUUGCUUUGGAGCUGCAGGAUGGAUUUUUCUUGUGUUCCCACAGGGGAGUGGAGGAGUGGGAAUCUCAUACAGUCGGUGUUGGUGGGAUUGUUCAGUGAUGUUUUCCAUCAGUGCUGGGAAGGUGAAAGCCUUUCCUUCCCCUCUGGCCUGGCUGUCAAUAAUCCAUAAUAAAGUGAAAUAUGUAAAGAGCUGAAGGUCCGGGCAGGGAGGAGCCCAUCCCAGCACGUUCCCUUUCUUUGUGGGAUCCCUCAGUGCCUCUUCCCUCCCUUUUCUGCAGCAGCAGCAGAUAAUCCCUGGCCUUGGGCACUGCCAACCCCAGGGCUUUGCUGCUCCUGUGGCAGCUCUGCCCUGUGCUCCUCAUUUGGAACUCUGCUGCCAUGUCCCAAAGGAUGAUUUUCUCUGGCUCUUUCAGCCCAAAAAGCUGAAUCUGGGCAAAACCUGCUGGUGUUUGCCCCAGUGUGAGGAGUCAGAGGGAUUUUCCAAGCUGAGGGCUGUGAAUAUUGGAGGGAUUAUCCAUAAAGUGGAGCCUGACUCAAUAUUGCAUCACCUUCCCCAGGUGUGUCCAGCCUUGUUUGCACCUUCUGCUCCCCCACGGGGCUCUGGUUUCCCUCCAGGUUAGAAUUUCUGUGAUUAAAUGAAAUUAAAUUAAAUAUUAACUCCCAUGUUUGUGACCCUCCCCAGUGCUCCCAGUUUCCUGACAUCCCACUGGGAUGGAUCCCAGUUGCUCUCAGGGCUGGCUGCUCUGAGGUUUUCAUUUCCAUUUUUAAUUCCAUCAGGAUCAGUUUGAGAACAGCUCAGGGUUAUUAAUCAGAAACUUCCAUAAACUUUCAAAUUUUCUCUCCUGAAAAAUCCCAUGGUUUUGUUCCCAAAAUUUGAGUCUACAGUGGCAGCUUCUUGUUUAAAAUUUUUUUUAAACACCUGCGAAUUCUGACAUUUCUCCCUGGAAAAGUGAACAAAUAUCCACUUAUCCCAUUUUAGUUGAUAAAAUGGGAAUUUAAUAUCCUUAUUUAUGGUGUCACAGAUUUGUUGUGAGAUAUUGGUGCAAUGACACUGACACAGCAUUUGAUAGAGGCUGUACUUGAGGAUUUAGCAGAGCUGGAAUUAAUUCCCUGAGUGUUCCCAACCUCUCAAAGCACAGGCUGAGAGAUCUCAGUCACUCAGGAGCAGCCCAUGCUCCUAAAGACCUUGUAGGAUGAAAAUUAUACCCUUCAGAAAUGCAAAUAUCAUUAUUAAACCGUUGUAAAUAAGGGUUUACUAAUAUUUUUAAUAUUAGUAAAAAUGCAGAUGACUGGAAUAUCAAACAACUUCCUACUUUUUGUAAGCUGGCUCAGGGAAAAUACAAUUUUUUCUCCUCUGGUGUUGGUGCUUCAUCCUGGUGCCCUGCAGAGAAAUCUUUCUGUAGUUCCAAAGGUUCUGUGAAAAAGAUUUAAAGUUACCCAAAAAUCAUUUAACAACCAGUGAAAGGCAUUUGAGGUGCAACUGCUGACAGUUGUUCUUGGAGAAGCAAAUUAAUUAAAUUUUAACUCAGAUUUGCUGUAACUGGACUGGGAGUUUUUGGAGUCAGACUCUGCAGGUUCUUGGUGUAAUUUUUAAAAUAAUCCUCGAGCAACUUUGCUGAAUUUCUGUCAUUUGCUGCUUCAAACAGAUAGGGAGUUUUGUUUUAUUUAGUGGAAAAAGAGCUUUAGAAUUUGUCUUUUGGCUAGAAAUUGUAGCACUGAGUUUAAAAAAAUGAAAAAGUGCAUUUGUUUAAUUACAAAUACCAGGUAAUUGUUCUGAAAACAGGCACCAAGAGUGCUUCUUCACUGAAUCUUAAUUUUUAUGGGUGUGUCUGUUGUAGUAUUAGAACAGAAAUAAUGGUUUUGACUAAAAUGUUACAAUUUUAGUGAAUUAAGGUUUAGCAAAGGCUGCUCCAAUUUUGAGGAGCCUGUUCUCAGUUUCAACUCCCUGUGAAACAUUAAAAUUUAGCAAAGAUUCAGGAUUAAUCCAAACGAAAAUUUAAUAUUUAAUUUAAGUUGUUGUAAAACAACUUCUGGAUGAAAGCAACUUCUGAAUCGGAAUUUCUCCUUCCACAUUCUGGGUUUGAAAGCCGAUGGCUUUGAUUACCGAAGGAGCACCGGGAAUUGGGCUUGGAUUAUUCCGAGUUUAUCUUCCAGCAUCUUCCUGCAGCAGUGCCGGGAAAUUUGCGGGUUUUUGGAGGUGCUGAGUGCAGGAAUUGUGAUGCAAAUGUGGCCCUGCCCGGUCCCACCCGGAUCCCACCAAAUUCAUCCCCAAUUCCCCCUCCCCUCCUCGGGUCACACCCAGGGGUCUCUGGGCUGGGUUUGUGAGCUUUGCAGGGACACAACUCACCUAAAUCCAAUUCAAUUAUUUUAAAGAUUUUUGUAAGAUUAUGCCUUUAGAUAUCAGGUGGCACCUAAGUGGGUGAUGAAAUGGUUUGAUUUUUAAUUAAAUUAUUUUUUUUCCAAAAAAGCAUCAGUAACCAACUCUGUGCUGCCGAGAUGGGAUUUCAAGAAUUUCAUUAUUUUCUAGGUUUUUCUCUCCUUUUUUCACUCCUUAUUUAAAUCUGUGCACAUUUUUUUUUCAUAAUUAAAAAUCUUUACAAAUGUACCAAAUAUAGGAGCUGAGGUCCUUGCAUUUAGGAUCUUACAGUUCUUCAAAAUUGCUUUGAUAAAAUUAAUUUUGUGCACUUAACAAAUAGUCGUGCCCAGAAAAAGGAAAUAAAAAGUGAAUUAUUUAGUGAGAGAAUUUUUGAAAUAUUGUUUUGAUGCACCAGGAGCUCCUCAGGGCUCUGCUCUUGGGUUUCAUGUCCUUGUUCUGUGUUUAAUUCGAUUUGGAGACUGACCCAGUUCAGUUUUCGGUGAGGAACGGAGUCAUUCGAACACCGCCCUGUUAAUCAUUGAUCCCUCACCAUUUAAAUAUUCCUCAUUUCAUACUCAUGCAGGAGUUCAAAAGUGUAAACCAUUACCUUGCAGUCGCUGCUCAGGCCUCCCAAGAAUUGGGUGAGAAAGAAAAGAACCCUCAAAAUGUGGCCGAUGUUCCAGGCGUGACUCGUCCACGGCCCCGGGAGAGCUUGUCCCAGGAACGGGCAGUGCUGAGGCACCUCUGGAUCAUUGGAAUCCUCUGGAACAUUGACACAUCUUGUAUAAAAUAAGGGAUAAGGGACGUGCUUUGGGCACCACAGGGUUGGUUUUGGUUGUUUUUUUUUUUUUUUUCCCAGAAUUUUUACCAGUCCGGGCACAGAAUUUCCUCACCCCGCGGUGAAUCAUGAGGGAAGCGACCUUUUGCUGGGAAAUGGGUUCAAAAAACCUCCUUUGCCCCCGGCCAUGAAGGAAAUAAAUAGAUUUACUGGAGGAGAAUGAGACA
Serinus canaria (Common canary) is the source of this 8178-nucleotide long non-coding RNA. RefSeq lists it as uncharacterized. The transcript has 2 exons. Lineage: Eukaryota; Metazoa; Chordata; Aves; Passeriformes; Fringillidae. The record is from RefSeq and is a predicted model, not a curated record.